CGCUGGCGGCGUGCCUAAUACAUGCAAGUCGAACGGUCUUUCUAUGGAAGCUUGCUUCCACUGAGAAGAUAGUGGCGAACGGGUGAGUAACACGUGGGUAACCUGCCCAUAAGAGGGGGAUAACAUCCGGAAACGGGUGCUAAUACCGCAUAGUUUUCUUGAUUGCAUGAUUGAGGAAGGAAAGACGGCCUUUGUGCUGUCGCUUAUGGAUGGACCCGCGGCGUAUUAGUUAGUUGGUGAGGUAACGGCUCACCAAGACGAUGAUACGUAGCCGACCUGAGAGGGUGAUCGGCCACAUUGGGACUGAGACACGGCCCAAACUCCUACGGGAGGCAGCAGUAGGGAAUCUUCCGCAAUGGACGAAAGUCUGACGGAGCAACGCCGCGUGAGUGAAAGAAGGUUUUCGGAUCGUAAAACUCUGUUGUCAGAGAAGAACAAGUUGGAGAGUAACUGCUCCAGCCUUGACGGUAUCUGACCAGAAAGCCACGGCUAACUACGUGCCAGCCGCGGC
RNAcentral lists this ribosomal RNA (511 nucleotides) under uncultured bacterium. RNAcentral describes it as "bacterial SSU rRNA". It matches the Rfam family "Bacterial small subunit ribosomal RNA", at positions 34 to 518 of the family's 1533-position model. The record is from RNAcentral.